RNAcentral lists this signal recognition particle RNA (273 nucleotides) under Malus domestica (apple). RNAcentral's name for it is "sRNA MD04G0173400". It matches the Rfam family "Plant signal recognition particle RNA". The record is from RNAcentral. Lineage: Eukaryota; Viridiplantae; Streptophyta; Magnoliopsida; Rosales; Rosaceae.
GUUGAGCUAAGUCACGCUAGCUUGUAACUCAAGUGAGGGCACCAAGGUGGUAGGACAAUGGUUUGACUCAUCGGGCAGGGUCUGUUGUUGCAACUGAUUGGCUCGCCCGAUCCAAGUUGUGAGUUGGGCCAUGUGGCUUGGAGUCACGAUUGCAUCAGGCUAGGUUCACAUAGCAGCGAAAGCCUCCUGCUCUCAACAAUGGAAGGAUUAUGGGUUGGUGCACAAUUGGUCUAGAUUGCCUCAUUGGUUGAUACCGGUUGAACAAUCUUUUUU